AUUGGCCCUGUGGAACAGAUCCUAACAUGUCACACUAAAGUGUUUGCACUACAAAGGCUUAUUGUGAUGGAGUUUAGCCAAAGGAGAUGAGAAUAGGAAGACACAAGAAAAUAUUUCCAAGGAAUUGAGGCUGUGGCAAACAGUGGCUGCUCUCUGCUCUGACAGAGCAAAUAUUUUUGUACCUGCAAAUCUUGAGAUUUUCAGUGACAGACAGACGAAAUCUCAGCAGUGUUUAAGCCAUGUGCAGCCAUGGGAUCUGUGUCUCUGCUGAACUGGACUAGAAAACUGUUUCUCUGCUAACUAGAGGAGGAGAAAACUAAAUGAGACUCACCGAGACAAAGACAGCUGUUGUGAGUCCCAUUUCUCCCUGACCUGCAGGCUCUCACAUUCCCAAAAUCCACAGUGUGGUGGUGGUCUGCCAGGACUUGUAGGCAUCUGCUUAUUGCCUAAGUGAGACUCCCAUCAUGCGAAACAGGACAGAGUUUUCUACCUGAUGUUUUCUACCUGCUGUGUCUCACUGCCGUGCAGCCCCUCCACCCUCUGUGGGGGUGUCCACUGCAAUCCUCAGAGCAUCAACCUGACUGAUCUCAUCCAAAUUGCAUCUUCAAUGGUAGAAAUUUUGGUAUGACAGACAGCUUCAGGCCAUAAAUAAAUCUCCUGAA
This is a long non-coding RNA of Passer domesticus (house sparrow), 662 nucleotides long. RefSeq lists it as uncharacterized. NCBI's taxonomy places the organism in Eukaryota, Metazoa, Chordata, Aves, Passeriformes, Passeridae. The transcript is spliced from 3 exons. The record is from RefSeq and is a predicted model, not a curated record.